Molecule: long non-coding RNA, 949 nt
Organism: Magnolia sinica
Lineage: Eukaryota; Viridiplantae; Streptophyta; Magnoliopsida; Magnoliales; Magnoliaceae
Exons: 3
Source: RefSeq, a predicted model, not a curated record
GAUUAUGCGUUGUCUUUCAGUUUAGUGAGCAAAAAAUAUUCUUGUUGUCUUCACUAUGUUAGGUGGAUGAUCUCUCAAGGAUGUAUAGGCUAUUUUGUAGAAUAACUAGAGGCUUAGAUCCUGUUUCUCAAAUAUUUAAGCAGCAUGUUACUGCUGAAGGAACCACCCUGGUUAAACAAGCGGAAGAUGCAGCAAGUAACAAGAAAGCAGAGAAAAAAAGAUGUUGUUGGUUUGCAAGAACAGGUAAAUCUCAUAAUAGGUGCCUUGUUUCAAGUCUGAUAGAAUAUUCUGGGACUCAUAUCUCUGGAGGAAAUAAAUAUGUUUUUCCCAAGCUGACAUGUUUUCACUGGUUUAAGAUAUAUGUGAUUUUUUUUCCCCUCAAAAGUCUUGACUAAUGAUAGUCCGUUUGGUUUAAAAAAAUAUGGCCCACCGAAUAGAAGUGGCGUUGUACCUAAGAUCAUGUCUCCCAUUCUUUUAUAAUCUUCCCUGUUUAUUGAUUUUUAUUUUUAUUUUUGAAACGCAUGAAUUGUUUAUUGGUCGGCAUAAAAAUCAUGGCAUUAUCAUGUAAAUCCGCUCCAUUUUAUUUUAAUUUCAAGCGGAUUCAACGUAAAUGAUAGCAACGACUUGGAGUCUUAUAUUUUUUUUUAUUAUGUCUCUUCCUCCAUUUUGAAGAUAUGUGCUGUCAUGUUUUUCUAUUUAACUCAUCAUAUGCAUUACCAUAGCUAGCUAAAGUGAUGUCUGCUUUUCUUAGGAAUUGGAGCUGUGUUCGUGAAGAAUUAUGUAUAUAUCGGUCUGGUGUUUCAGCUGAACAUCUAUUGUCUCAUUGAUCUGAGUGGCUCUAGUCUGCCAUCUGUUUCUUGGGUCGAUUGCCAUAUUGGUUGAAAAGAGGUUCCUUUCAUCUUUGGUGGUUAGAGCUGAUUGGCUUGUGUUAAACAGGAUACUCACUAUA